RNAcentral lists this ribosomal RNA (429 nucleotides) under Gemmatimonadota bacterium. Its description in RNAcentral is "Gemmatimonadetes bacterium partial 16S ribosomal RNA". It matches the Rfam family "Bacterial small subunit ribosomal RNA", at positions 355 to 776 of the family's 1533-position model. The record is from RNAcentral. Lineage: Bacteria; Pseudomonadati; Gemmatimonadota.
UAGGGAAUCUUCGGCAAUGGACGAAAGUCUGACCGAGCAACGCCGCGUGAGUGAAGAAGGUUUUCGGAUCGUAAAACUCUGUUGUUAGAGAAGAACAAGGACGUUAGUAACUGAACGUCCCCUGACGGUAUCUAACCAGAAAGCCACGGCUAACUACGUGCCAGCAGCCGCGGUAAUACGUAGGUGGCAAGCGUUGUCCGGAUUUAUUGGGCGUAAAGCGAGCGCAGGCGGUUUCUUAAGUCUGAUGUGAAAGCCCCCGGCUCAACCGGGGAGGGUCAGUGGAAACUGGGAGACUUGAGUGCAGAAGAGGAGAGUGGAAUUCCAUGUGUAGCGGUGAAAUGCGUAGAUAUAUGGAGGAACACCAGUGGCGAAGGCGACUCUCUGGUCUGUAACUGACGCUGAGGCUCGAAAGCGUGGGGAGCAAACAGG